This 120-nucleotide ribosomal RNA is filed under the name Listeria monocytogenes. Lineage: Bacteria; Bacillati; Bacillota; Bacilli; Caryophanales; Listeriaceae. The record is from RNAcentral.
UGUGGUUGUUUUCUUGGGCGAGAAGGUCACCCCCGUUCCCAUCCCGAACACGGUAGUUAAGCUUCUCUGCGCCAAUGGUAGUUGGGGGCUUCCCCCUGCGAGAGUAGGUCGCUGCCGGGC